GUGAAAGUUCGAGGCUCAACUUCGAAUUGCCUUAGAAACUGGGUGGCUAGAGUGCAGGAGAGGGCAAUGGAAUUCCAUGUGUAGCGGUAAAAUGCGUAGAUAUAUGGAGGAACACCAGUGGCGAAGGCGGUUGCCUGGCCUGUAACUGACGCUGAAGCACGAAAGCGUGGGGAGCAAAUAGGAUUAGAUACCCUAGUAGUCCACGCCGUAAACGAUGAUUACUAAGUGUUGGGGAAACUCAGUGCUGCAGUUAACGCAAUAAGUAAUCCGCCUGGGGAGUAUGCACGCAAGUGUGAAACUCAAAGGAAUUGACGGGGGCCCGCACAAGCGGUGGAGUAUGUGGUCUAAUUCGAAGCAACGCGAAGAACCUUACCAGGUCUUGACAUACCGGGCAAAGCCUCAGAGAUGAG
RNAcentral lists this ribosomal RNA (410 nucleotides) under uncultured bacterium. RNAcentral's name for it is "bacterial SSU rRNA". It matches the Rfam family "Bacterial small subunit ribosomal RNA", at positions 594 to 1010 of the family's 1533-position model. The record is from RNAcentral.